Non-coding RNA from Pelobates cultripes (western spadefoot toad), 482 nucleotides. NCBI's taxonomy places the organism in Eukaryota, Metazoa, Chordata, Amphibia, Anura, Pelobatidae. The record is from the annotation of a GenBank genome assembly.
UUAGAAUAUUGGGCAGACUAGAUGGGUCGAAUGGGUCUUAUCUGCCGUCACAUUCCAUGUUUCUAUGUUUCUAUAAUAGAAAGUAAACUAAUGUGCACUAAAUGUUCUGGCUGUGCUUUCUCAGACAAAAGCCUCGAAUGAUGUCAUAGUGCAAUUAUAUUAAUCUACUUACAUCAAAACAUACCUACACACAAAGAAAAGAAAUGAUGUCAUUUUAUUUGAUGGCAUAUCAAAUGUGACAGAUCCACUUUGAACAGAGAAAAUGAAAACCACAUGACCGCUACUGCUCCUACAUAUAGUACAUUGCUACUACACUGUUAUCAAAGCCAAACAAAAUGCUAUUUUUUUUUGUAUGUUUGUACAGAAAAUGGAAAAACAUUACAAUUGCCAAUGUGUCUGUAAAAUGCAGUAACACUGUAGUAAAUAUUGUUUGUGAAUACAGAUUUUAUUCAGUAUUGUUUGUGGAUACAGGUUUUAUUUAU